GGCGGGACACGUGGUAUCCUGUCUGAAUAUGGGGGGACCAUCCUCCAAGGCUAAAUACUCCUGACUGACCGAUAGUGAACCAGUACCGUGAGGGAAAGGCGAAAAGAACCCCGGCGAGGGGAGUGAAACAGAACCUGAAACCGUGUACGUACAAGCAGUGGGAGCACAGGUUUACCUGUGUGACUGCGUACCUUUUGUAUAAUGGGUCAGCGACUUAUAUUCUGUAGCAAGGUUAACCGCAUAGGGGAGCCGAAGGGAAACCGAGUCUUAAUUGGGCGUUAAGUUGCAGGGUAUAGACCCGAAACCCGGUGAUCUAGCCAUGGGCAGGUUGAAGGUUGGGUAACACUAACUGGAGGACCGAACCGACUAAUGUUGAAAAAUUAGCGGAUGACCUGUGGCUGGGGGUGAAAGGCCAAUCAAACCGGGAGAUAGCUGGUUCUCCCCGAAAGCUAUUUAGGUAGCGCCUCGUGAACUCAUCUCCGGGGGUAGAGCACUGUUUCGGCUAGGGGGCCAUCCCGGCUUACCAACCCGAUGCAAACUGCGAAUACCGGAGAAUGUUAUCACGGGAGACACACGGCGGGUGCUAACGUCCGUCGUGAAGAGGGAAACAACCCAGACCGCCAGCUAAGGUCCCAAAGUCAUGGUUAAGUGGGAAACGAUGUGGGAAGGCCCAGACAGCCAGGAUGUUGGCUUAGAAGCAGCCAUCAUUUAAAGAAAGCGUAAUAGCUCACUGGUCGAGUCGGCCUGCGCGGAAGAUGUAACGGGGCUAAACCAUGCACCGAAGCUGCGGCAGCGAACGUAUCACUUAAAACGAUUCAGAAGCUUACGAUUGACGGAGCGAAGCGACGUCAAAGCGUAUACAAAGUCGAGUCGGUUUAAGGAUACGUUCGUUGGGUAGGGGAGCGUUCUGUAAGCCGUUGAAGGUGGCCUGUGAGGGUUGCUGGAGGUAUCAGAAGUGCGAAUGCUGACAUAAGUAACGAUAAAGCGGGUGAAAAGCCCGCUCGCCGGAAGACCAAGGGUUCCUGUCCAACGUUAAUCGGGGCAGGGUGAGUCGACCCCUAAGGCGAGGCCGAAAGGCGUAGUCGAUGGGAAACGGGUUAAUAUUCCCGUACUUGGUGUUACUGCGAAGGGGGGACGGAGAAGGCUAUGUUGGCCGGGCGACGGUUGUCCCGGUUUAAGCGUGCAGGUGUGUGUUCCAGGUAAAUCCGGUUCACUUUAACACUGAGGCGUGAUGACGAGGCACCACGGUGCUGAAGCAACAAAUGCCCUGCUUCCAGGAAAAGCCUCUAAGCAUCAGGUAACAUCAAAUCGUACCCCAAACCGACACAGGUGGUCAGGUAGAGAAUACCAAGGCGCUUGAGAGAACUCGGGUGAAGGAACUAGGCAAAAUGGUGCCGUAACUUCGGGAGAAGGCACGCUGACACGUAGGUGAAGUGGUUUACCCAUGGAGCUGAAGUCAGUCGAAGAUACCAGCUGGCUGCAACUGUUUAUUAAAAACACAGCACUGUGCAAACACGAAAGUGGACGUAUACGGUGUGACGCCUGCCCGGUGCCGGAAGGUUAAUUGAUGGGGUCAGCGCAAGCGAAGCUCCUGAUCGAAGCCCCGGUAAACGGCGGCCGUAACUAUAACGGUCCUAAGGUAGCGAAAUUCCUUGUCGGGUAAGUUCCGACCUGCACGAAUGGCGUAAUGAUGGCCAGGCUGUCUCCACCCGAGACUCAGUGAAAUUGAACUCGCUGUGAAGAUGCAGUGUACCCGCGGCAAGACGGAAAGACCCCGUGAACCUUUACUAUAGCUUGACACUGAACAUUGAGCCUUGAUGUGUAGGAUAGGUGGGAGGCUUUGAAGCGUGGACGCCAGUCUGCGUGGAGCCGGCCUUGAAAUACCACCCUUUAAUGUUUGAUGUUCUAACGUGGACCCGUAAUCCGGGUUGCGGACAGUGUCUGGUGGGUAGUUUGACUGGGGCGGUCUCCUCCUAAAGAGUAACGGAGGAGCACGAAGGUUGGCUAAUCCUGGUCGGACAUCAGGAGGUUAGUGCAAUGGCAUAAGCCAGCUUGACUGCGAGCGUGACGGCGCGAGCAGGUGCGAAAGCAGGUCAUAGUGAUCCGGUGGUUCUGAAUGGAAGGGCCAUCGCUCAACGGAUAAAAGGUACUCCGGGGAUAACAGGCUGAUACCGCCCAAGAGUUCAUAUCGACGGCGGUGUUUGGCACCUCGAUGUCGGCUCAUCACAUCCUGGGGCUGAAGUAGGUCCCAAGGGUAUGGCUGUUCGCCAUUUAAAGUGGUACGCGAGCUGGGUUUAGAACGUCGUGAGACAGUUCGGUCCCUAUCUGCCGUGGGCGCUGGAGAACUGAGGGGGGCUGCUCCUAGUACGAGAGGACCGGAGUGGACGCAUCACUGGUGUUCGGGUUGUCAUGCCAAUGGCACUGCCCGGUAGCUAAAUGCGGAAGAGAUAAGUGCUGAAAGCAUCUAAGCACGAAACUUGCCCCGAGAUGAGUUCUCCCUGAGACUAUAAGUCUCCUGAAGGAACGUUGAAGACGACGACGUUGAUA
This 2547-nucleotide ribosomal RNA is filed under the name Salmonella enterica subsp. salamae. RNAcentral describes it as "partial 23S ribosomal RNA". It matches the Rfam family "Bacterial large subunit ribosomal RNA", at positions 416 to 2858 of the family's 2925-position model. The record is from RNAcentral. Lineage: Bacteria; Pseudomonadati; Pseudomonadota; Gammaproteobacteria; Enterobacterales; Enterobacteriaceae.